UACGUAGGGGGCAAGCGUUGUCCGGAAUUAUUGGGCGUAAAGCGCGCGCAGGCGGCGAUUUAAGUUUGGUGUUUAAGCCCGGAGCUCAACUCCGGUUCGCACUGAAAACUGGAUCGCUUGAGUGCAGGAGAGGGAAGUGGAAUUCCACGUGUAGCGGUGAAAUGCGUAGAGAUGUGGAGGAACACCAGUGGCGAAGGCGACUUCCUGGCCUGUAACUGACGCUGAGGCGCGAAAGCGUGGGGAGCAAACA
Molecule: ribosomal RNA, 250 nt
Filed under: uncultured bacterium
Lineage: Bacteria
Description: partial 16S ribosomal RNA
Rfam family: Bacterial small subunit ribosomal RNA
Source: RNAcentral